This 497-nucleotide ribosomal RNA is filed under the name uncultured bacterium. RNAcentral describes it as "partial 16S ribosomal RNA". It matches the Rfam family "Bacterial small subunit ribosomal RNA", at positions 28 to 507 of the family's 1533-position model. The record is from RNAcentral.
GAUGAACGCUGGCGGCGUGCCUAAUACAUGCAAGUCGAGCGAACGGACGAGAAGCUUGCUUCUCUGAUGUUCGCGGCGGACGGGUGAGUAACACGUGGAUAACCUACCUAUAAGACUGGGAUAACUUCGGGAAACCGGAGCUAAUACCGGAUGAUAUUUUGAACCGCAUGGUUCAAAAGUGAAAGACGGUCUUGCUGUCACUUAUAGAUGGAUCCGCGCUGCAUUAGCUAGUUGGUAAGGUAACGGCUUACCAAGGCAACGAUGCAUAGCCGACCUGAGAGAGGGAUCGGCCACACUGGAACUGAGACGCGGUCCAGACUCCUACGGGAGGCAGCAGUAGGGAAUCUUCCGCAAUGGGCGAAAGCCUGACGGAGCAACGCCGCGUGAGUGAUGAAGGGCUUCGGAUCGUAAAACUCUGUUAUUAGGGAAGAACAUAUGUGUAAGUAACUGUGCACAUCUUGACGGUACCUAAUCAGAAAGCCACGGCUAACUACGUG